UACGUAGGGGGCCAGCGUUGUCCGGAAUCAUUGGGCGUAAAGCGCGCGUAGGCGGCCAGACAAGUCCGGUGUGAAAGUCACAGGCUCAACCUGUGAAUGCCGCUGGAAACUGUCUGGCUAGAGUCCGGAAGGGGCGAGUGGAAUUCCUGGUGUAGCGGUGAAAUGCGUAGAUAUUGGGAGGAACACCAGUGGCGAAGGCGGCUACCUGGACCGGUUCUGACGCUGAGGCGCGAAAGCGUGGGUAGCAAACAGG
RNAcentral lists this ribosomal RNA (253 nucleotides) under uncultured bacterium. RNAcentral describes it as "partial 16S ribosomal RNA". It matches the Rfam family "Bacterial small subunit ribosomal RNA", at positions 524 to 776 of the family's 1533-position model. The record is from RNAcentral.